GAUGAACGCUGGCGGCGUGCCUAAUACAUGCAAGUCGAGCGAACAGACGAGGAGCUUGCUCCUCUGACGUUAGCGGCGGACGGGUGAGUAACACGUGGAUAACCUACCUAUAAGACAGGGAUAACUUCGGGAAACCGGAGCUAAUACCGGAUAAUAUAUUGAACCGCAUGGAUCAAUAGUGAAAGAGGGUUUUGCUGUCAAUGAUAGAUGGAUCCGCGCCGCAUUAGCUAGGUGGUAAGGUAACGGCGUACCAAGGCAAGGAUGAGUAGCCGACCUGGGAGGGUGGUCGGCCACACUGGAACGGAGACACGGUCCAGACUCCUACGCGAGGCAGCAGUAGGGAAUCUUCCGCAAUGCGCGAAAUCCUGACGGGGCAACGCCGCGUGAGUGAUGAAGGUCUUCGGAUCGUAAAUCUCUGUUAUUAGGGAAGAACAAAUGUGUAAGUAACGAUGCACGUCUUGACGGUACCUAAUCAGAAAGCCCCGGCUAACUACGUG
RNAcentral lists this ribosomal RNA (497 nucleotides) under uncultured bacterium. RNAcentral describes it as "partial 16S ribosomal RNA". It matches the Rfam family "Bacterial small subunit ribosomal RNA", at positions 28 to 507 of the family's 1533-position model. The record is from RNAcentral.